AACAGGUGGAGCCUGCGGUUUAAUCGGACUCAACGCCGGGAAACUCACCAGAUAAGACAGCUGAAUGAUAGUCGGGCUGAAGACUCUACUUGACUAGCUGAGAGGAGGUGCAUGGCCGUCGUCAGUUCGUACUGUGAAGCAUCCUGUUAAGUCAGGCAACGAGCGAGACCCACGCCAACAGUUGCCAGCUCGUCCUCCGGGAUGGUGGGGACACUGUUGGGACCGCCUCUGCUAAAGAGGAGGAAGGAAUGGGCACGGUAGGUCAGCAUGCCCCGAAUUAUCUGGGCUACACGCGGGCUACAAUGGGUGGGACAAUGGGUAUCGACACCGAAAGGCGAAGGCAAUCUCCUAAACCCAUCCGUAGUUCGGAUUGUGGGCUGCAACUCGCCCACAUGAAGCUGGAAUCUGUAGUAAUCGUGUCUCAAAAUGGCACGGUGAAUAUGUCCCUGCUCCUU
This 455-nucleotide ribosomal RNA is filed under the name uncultured Methanomicrobiales archaeon. RNAcentral's name for it is "bacterial SSU rRNA". It matches the Rfam family "Archaeal small subunit ribosomal RNA", at positions 883 to 1338 of the family's 1478-position model. Lineage: Archaea; Methanobacteriati; Methanobacteriota; Methanomicrobia; Methanomicrobiales. The record is from RNAcentral.